UUACAAGAGUACUGUUCAGGAA
RNAcentral lists this non-coding RNA (22 nucleotides) under Arabidopsis thaliana (thale cress). The record is from RNAcentral. Lineage: Eukaryota; Viridiplantae; Streptophyta; Magnoliopsida; Brassicales; Brassicaceae.